Molecule: unclassified non-coding RNA, 273 nt
Filed under: uncultured Gemmatimonadaceae bacterium
Lineage: Bacteria; Pseudomonadati; Gemmatimonadota; Gemmatimonadia; Gemmatimonadales; Gemmatimonadaceae
Description: contains 16S-23S intergenic spacer region
Source: RNAcentral
UCCUCGUUGAAGCCAUGCAGCACCUGUGCAGGAUCUCCGAAGAGGGGCUCUCGUUUCUGAGAGCUUGCUCGUGCAUGUCAAGCCUAGGUAAGGUUCUUCGCGUUGCGUCGAAUUAAACCACAUGCUCCACCGCUUGUGCGGGCCCCCGUCAAUUCCUUUGAGUUUCAACCUUGCGGUCGUACUCCCCAGGCGGGGUACUUCCUGCGUUAGCGCCGGCACCCAGAGGGUCGCUCCCCCAGGCACCUAGUACCCAUCGUUUACGGCGUGGACUAC